GACGAACGCUGGCGGCGUGCCUAAUACAUGCAAGUCGAACGCUUCUUUCCUCCCGAGUGCUUGCACUCAAUUGGAAAGAGGAGUGGCGGACGGGUGAGUAACACGUGGGUAACCUACCCAUCAGAGGGGGAUAACACUUGGAAACAGGUGCUAAUACCGCAUAACAGUUUAUGCCGCAUGGCAUAAGAGUGAAAGGCGCUUUCGGGUGUCGUUGAUGGAUGGACCCGCGGUGCAUUAGCUAGUUGGUGAGGUAACGGCUCACCAAGGCCACGAUGCAUAGCCGACCUGCGAGGGUGAUCGGCCACACUGGGACUGAGACACGGCCCAGACUCCUACGGGAGGCAGCAGUAGGGGAUCUUCGGCAAUGGACGAAAGUCUGACCGAGCAACGCCGCGUGAGUGAAGAAGGUUUUCGGAUCGUAAAACUCUGUUGUUAGAGAAGAACAAGGACGUUAGUAACUGAACGUCCCCUGACGGUAUCUAACCAGAAAGCCACGGCUAACUACGUG
Molecule: ribosomal RNA, 508 nt
Filed under: uncultured bacterium
Lineage: Bacteria
Description: partial 16S ribosomal RNA
Rfam family: Bacterial small subunit ribosomal RNA
Source: RNAcentral